CGCAUCUGUGCAUGCAGCAUAUCAAUAAGCGGAGGAAAAGAAACUAACAAGGAUUCCCUUAGUAACGGCGAGUGAAGCGGGAAGAGCUCAAAUUUGAAAUCUUCAAGGUUUUACCUUGACGAAUUGUAGUUUAAAGAAGUGUUUUCUGUUCGAAGUUUUGGUAAAAGUUCUUUGGAAUAGGACAUCAUAGAGGGUGAGAAUCCCGUAUUUGACCAUUAUUUUCAGCUGUGUGAUACACUUUCAAAGAGUCGGAUUGUUUGGGAAUGCAGUCCAAAAUGGGUGGUAAAUUUCAUCUAAAGCUAAAUAUUGGCGAGAGACCGAUAGCGAACAAGUACCGUGAGGGAAAGAUGAAAAGAACUUUGAAAAGAGAGUUAAACAGUACGUGAAAUUGUCAAAAGGGAAGCGUUUGACACCAGUGUUGUUUUCUCGAAAAUCAAUUAAAAAGAGUUGGAUUUUGUGUUGUAUUGACCUUAACAGCUUGCUUCACUCUUUUCCAGCUUUUUUUAAUGCACUUUUCGUUUAACAAGUCAACAUCAGUUUCUUUUGUUGUAAAAGGGUCAUUGGAAGGUGGCUUUCUCUUCGGAGAAAGUGUUUAUAGCCUUUGAUCUCUGCAAUCGGAGAGACUGAGGUCUGCAGCGUAGAUCCUUCGGGGUUAGAUACAUUUGUGCUAAGCUACAGCUUUUCAUAGACAACUUGUUGACUAUGUUUAGUCUUGUGACUUACCCGCUUAUGCUAUUUUACCUACGCUUAGGAUGUUGAUAUGCAUGACUGAUAU
RNAcentral lists this ribosomal RNA (775 nucleotides) under uncultured Neocallimastigales. RNAcentral describes it as "partial large subunit ribosomal RNA". It matches the Rfam family "Eukaryotic large subunit ribosomal RNA", at positions 26 to 636 of the family's 3401-position model. Lineage: Eukaryota; Fungi; Neocallimastigomycota; Neocallimastigomycetes; Neocallimastigales. The record is from RNAcentral.